UACGUAGGGGGCUAGCGUUGCUCGGAAUCACUGGGCGUAAAGGGUGCGUAGGCGGGUCUUUUAAGUCAGGGGUGAAAUCCUGGAGCUCAACUCCAGAACUGCCUUUGAUACUGAAGAUCUUGAGUUCGGGAGAGGUGAGUGGAACUGCGAGUGUAGAGGUGAAAUUCGUAGAUAUUCGCAAGAACACCAAUGGCGAAGGCGGCUCACUGGCCCGAUACUGACGCUGAGGCACGAAAGCGUGGGGGAGCAAACAGGG
RNAcentral lists this ribosomal RNA (256 nucleotides) under uncultured bacterium. Its description in RNAcentral is "partial 16S ribosomal RNA". It matches the Rfam family "Bacterial small subunit ribosomal RNA", at positions 524 to 777 of the family's 1533-position model. The record is from RNAcentral.